This 354-nucleotide ribosomal RNA is filed under the name Triticum aestivum (bread wheat). Its description in RNAcentral is "partial small subunit ribosomal RNA". Lineage: Eukaryota; Viridiplantae; Streptophyta; Magnoliopsida; Poales; Poaceae. The record is from RNAcentral.
AUGGACCUGAGGUUUCUUUCAUAUCAUUAUUCCCCCUUGAAGGUUAUUGAUAUGGCAAGGUUGAAUCAUGAGAACAUAGCAAAGUUUCUGGACUAUUGCAGAGAGAGUGACCUAUUCUCGAGGAUUUUAGUCUUUGAGUACGCAUCAAAUGGGACCCUAUACGAGCACCUACACUAUGGGGAAGCGGCCCAAUUCUCUUGGCUCAGACGAAUGAAAAUAGCCAUCGGCAUCGCCAAAAGUUUAAGGUAUCUGCACACCGAGUCGCGGCCUCCUUUCGCUAUAUCAGAGUUGAAAGCCAAUUCAGUAUACGUUACAGAAGAUUUUACCCCCAAGGCUGACGACGUUGUCUACUGA